UACGGAGGAUCCGAGCGUUAUCCGGAUUUAUUGGGUUUAAAGGGUGCGCAGGCGGGAGUUUAAGUCGGCGGUGAAAUUUUGCAGCUCAACUGUAAAAGUGCCUUCGAAACUGGUUUCCUUGAGUGUAGAUGAAGUAGGCGGAAUUUGUGGUGUAGCGGUGAAAUGCAUAGAUAUCACGAGGAACUCCGAUUGCGCAGGCAGCUUACUAAACUACUACUGACGCUCAGGCACGAAGGCGUGGGGAUCAAACAGGAUUAGAUACCCUGGUAGUCCCU
Molecule: ribosomal RNA, 275 nt
Filed under: uncultured prokaryote
Description: partial 16S ribosomal RNA
Rfam family: Bacterial small subunit ribosomal RNA
Source: RNAcentral